RNAcentral lists this ribosomal RNA (254 nucleotides) under uncultured bacterium. Its description in RNAcentral is "partial 16S ribosomal RNA". It matches the Rfam family "Bacterial small subunit ribosomal RNA", at positions 524 to 776 of the family's 1533-position model. The record is from RNAcentral.
UACGUAGGGUGCAAGCGUUGUCCGGAAUUAUUGGGCGUAAAGAGCUCGUAGGCGGUGUGUCGCGUCGGCCGUGAAAACCUGCAGCUUAACUGUGGGCUUGCGGUCGAUACGGGCAUCACUGGAGUUCGGCAGGGGAGACUGGAAUUCCUGGUGUAGCGGUGAAAUGCGUAGAUAUCUGGAGGAAUACCGGUGGCGAAGGCGGCAUCCUGGACCGGUAUUGACGCUGAGGCGCGAAAGCCAGGGGAGCAAACGGG